Papaver somniferum (opium poppy) is the source of this 2130-nucleotide long non-coding RNA. RefSeq lists it as uncharacterized. The transcript has 5 exons. The record is from RefSeq and is a predicted model, not a curated record. Lineage: Eukaryota; Viridiplantae; Streptophyta; Magnoliopsida; Ranunculales; Papaveraceae.
UGGUUAUGGGCAAACAUUACUCUUCUUCCCUCUCUCUCCUCUCUCCUCUCUAAAAACACUACUACCGAAAAAACAAAACCAACCGCCGUUCCUUUCUUGCUCGGAUUUAGUCUAAUCGGACUAGAUCCGAGCAAGACAUCCGUUUUAGUUUAAUGUAGUCUUUAGUUGUUUGUUGGAAAUCCCCGGGUUGUUGUAGAGAAUCAGGUAGUCAUGAUACUUGACUUCUCUCUCCUGUAUCUCUCUUCUUCCCUGGAUUGAAGAAGAUCCCCUUUUCUUUUUCCCAAGUCUCAUCUCACCUCAUCUUAGUUCGAAGAAUUGUGGUACAUUUACCUACCACUUCUUUACCUCGUCCAUAUAUUCUCUGAAACCCCGUAAUCAUCUUCAUUAAUCAGAAUUGAUACAUAAAAACCACUUAAUUUUAACCUAAAUCAAAUCUCCUUCAAACAUUUCUUUGUAAUAAAAUCUUGCUCCAUCAAAAAAUCUUGCUCCAUCAAAAAAUUGCUUCUACCACCCAUCUCAUAGAUCUCCUUCACCCAUCCACUACACAUCCCUUCACCCAUUUUCAGUUCUAAAUCAACAAUAUUGUUGGAUUCUGAUGAAGAAAAGGCAUGGAUCAGUUCUUAAUAAUCAUUAAUUGUGCUGGUUCUGUUGAUAUUCAGGGUAAAGUCCUCAUUUUCAGUUCUAAAUCAACAAUGGUGUUGGUUUCUGAAGAAGAAAAGGCUUCCAUCAUCAGUUCUUAGUACUCAUUAAUGGUGGUGGUUUCGUCCAUACUCAGGGCAAGUUUUUGAAAUGGUGGUGCAAAGGGUGGCGGCAAGUUUUUGGUAACGAUUAGGGUUUCAUCUUCGCUGGACUUCUACUUUACAUGGGCAGUUGCUAUCCGGGUAUCUGGAACUGGUCUUGGGCUUCGAUGAGUUUGUGUCCCCUGGUCUUCGUUUUCUUACGGCUUGCAAUUGUAAGGAUUCUUUUGAUCUCCUUGGUCAUCUCCGCCCUUUCGAUUGAAAGGUGUAUCCAUUUGUAAUUUGCUAUUCAAAGUCUGGUUGUAACAAUUCUUAUUUCUUCAAUCAAUAUAUUCCCCUUUCACGAUCAAAAAAAAAAAGUUAACGUCCAUAUGUCCAACUUGAAGAACCAUUAUGCCCUCUCUUUUUCUGGAAUUUCUGUAUUUUAAACAUGGUUGAUUCUUCCUUUUAAUGGCAGUUACAUUAUUCACUAAACCUCAACUUCAGCGUCCACUACGACUACUUACUUGGAUAAGUUCUAACAAAGUCAAUUUCGGGUAGGUAAUUAAUAGAAUUAUUAUCAAAUCCAGUGCAACUUGAAGUUUAGGAUUCCACCGGGUGAUACUGUUUUGGAUGUAACAAGUGCACGACUUAAGUGGUUGGUUGGAUAUAAUUUCCAAUAGUUCCACUAGAAAUUCCCUUAUUGUUGUGUUACAAGCCAGCAUCCGUCUGAGGUGCCUUCUUCGCUUUGAAAUGGCAGGCCAUAUCGGUAGCACCAUAUUUGAUGCACUGGACAGUGAAGUCCAACGGCUUUUCCGUGCCACUUCCUCGGAUGUAGUCAUGAUGGGAGAGGAGGAUGAAAAAUGUAAGGUGGUUACAACUUUCGAAGAGAUCCUGAAUGUUGAAAAUGGACUACCAAAUAAAGCUUACCACGUAUAAUAAGAAGCAAAACCACCCACAGUUUCCAGGAUAGACAUACUACCACCAGGAUUCGCAGUUUGGAUCAGGCUAUACUUUCACGAAAUAUAUGUAUGAGUUCAAUUCACUCAGUUUUAUAUCAAACAAAUUGAUACUUAAACAUUUAUAUUAUUUAUUGGUUGUCUUGCAAUAGGAUCAUGUGCUUCAAGUGCUAAUUUUAUAUUGUUUGAUUUACCAGUCUUUGAUUAUGUUUAUAUAUGUAAGAUUUACAGCUUCUCUGCCACUUUUUUGUGUCCGCAGUUGGUUUGUUGGUUUGUAUUUUGUAGCAUUCAGUCUUCCGAGGGUAAGUUAAACACUACACGGAAUGGUGGAAGCUUUCGUUUUCUUAUGGAUCACAGGAUCAGUAUUCAAAAAUAGCAUACUAUUUUUCCAUUAUGAUUUUUUUGAUACAAAAUGUACAUUAUAAAACCUUAAGUUUACUGGGUGUAGUUUUGCA